Molecule: ribosomal RNA, 396 nt
Filed under: uncultured bacterium
Lineage: Bacteria
Description: partial 16S ribosomal RNA
Rfam family: Bacterial small subunit ribosomal RNA
Source: RNAcentral
AUACGUAGGUGGCAAGCGUUGUCCGGAAUUAUUGGGCGUAAAGCGCAUGUAGGCGGUGCCUUAAGUCUGUCGUGAAACUGCGGGGCCUAACCCCGUAUGGCGAUGGAAACUGUGGCACUUGAGUGCAGGAGAGGAAAGGGGAACUCCCAGUGUAGCGGUGAAAUGCGUAGAUAUUGGGAAGAACACCGGUGGCGAAGGCGCCUUUCUGGACGGUGUCUGACGCUGAGAUGCGAAAGCCAGGGUAGCGAACGGGAUUAGAUACCCCGGUAGUCCUGGCCGUAAACGAUGGGUACUAGGUGUGGGAGGUAUCGACCCCUUCCGUGCCGGAGUUAACGCAAUAAGUACCCCGCCUGGGGAGUACGGCCGCAAGGCUUAAACUCAAAUGAAUUGACGGGG